This 353-nucleotide long non-coding RNA is filed under the name Cyanistes caeruleus (blue tit). RNAcentral's name for it is "lncRNA (ENSCCEG00000019204.1)". Lineage: Eukaryota; Metazoa; Chordata; Aves; Passeriformes; Paridae. The record is from RNAcentral.
UGAAAAAAUUGUGUGUAUUGAUCUGGAUUCUGCCCUCGAACAUUUUGCUGCCAACCAGAAUAUUAAGCAGGCUUAGACCUUGCGAGUCACACUGGGUUCCCACUUCACUCUGUAAACUGGAGAAGAGUUCAAGCAGAGCUCAAGGAACAUAUUUGGGAGCAUUUAUGAAAACACUGGGAAGAUGCUCUGAAGGUGUAACAAAGGCAUUGGACUGAGAAAGAAAGAGAGGGAUUCUUCUGACUGACUUUCAGCUUUUGCUGAAAUUGGUAAGUUUCUGCUUCUUUCCCCAGGCACUAAACUGAGUUCUGGCCACAUUCUGCUCGGACAGCUCAGAAAUAGGAUUUCCAAAGGAG